UUUUCCCUGCCAGUCAAAGGCCUUGAAGCAACGCAAACAAACGGGUUAAAUGCCAGCCAGGUUCCCGUACCUCCCCGCUCCCUGUGCACAGCGCUAGCCUGACAACACCACGGCCCCUAGCCGCGGGGCUGAACCGAAAGGAACCCGCACCCAACCGACCAACGGUUUGCAGAGGCACGAGCCACCCGGGGUUUCCCCCAACACGGGAAGCGAGUACGAGCCGGGACACCCCGCGACUCCGCUCCAACCGGAGCACGCACGGCCUCCCCCGGGCUCCGCACAGCCGGAGACCGAGGUGCGGGCGGGGAUGCCCCCGGGGAGCGGGAGGCAUAAUUCCAGCAGGACUUACUAAGCCAAGUGGUGUCAAGGAUGGUCUCCAAAGAGCCCGGCCACCUGCUAGUAGCCACCGGUGCUGUGUGGAUCACCUGCCCUGUUCAGGAGUUUGGCAGAAGCAAGAGAGUUGUCAUCUUGGAAGUCAAGGAGUGCCAGGAACAUUCCUUGGAGGGACCAUAGUGUUCAUAGUGGAAAGAUCAUAGUGUGUGCAAUCGGAUGAACCUGGGCUCCAUCCACCUUCUGCCGAAUUCUAAAUUAGUCCUAGCCCCAAGUGAGUGAAACCACGCAGGGCUGAAGAGUCUUGGGGUAUUAAGUCCUGCAGACUCAUUGUGUAUUGUUUUGGUGGCAGGACUUUUGUUUACACCCCCCACACACACAAGAAAAAUGAAAAUCUCCCAGGAUAAAAUAAAAAGGCAUAGCCAUGGAGAUACUUCUACAGCUUUUUAAGUGGCGCCCUUAGCAGUUCGUGGGAAUGCAUCUCUCAUUAGUCAUGUCAUUUGGGUUGAAUUUCGAGAUUUGGAUGGGGUAUUAUUUUCCUUGUUACUAAGAUUUCACCAACGAUAACAUAGCUUCUGUGUACCAAUCAUGCCUCUUCUUGAUAUAUGUUCUAGGAGAGUGAUAUGUAUGGAAUAAAAUCUCUCAAAAUCA
Molecule: long non-coding RNA, 981 nt
Organism: Rattus norvegicus (Norway rat)
Lineage: Eukaryota; Metazoa; Chordata; Mammalia; Rodentia; Muridae
Source: RefSeq, a predicted model, not a curated record